GUACCUGAUGCUCCUCGAGCUCCUGCACUAGCACCUGAGCAAAAGGGAAACACAGAUAUGAGGAGCAGCUCGGGCCAUCAACCCAUUCCUCCCUCCACACUUAAAGCCCAGCCGCUGACCGUUUGACUAGUCAAGGCCGGCCUUUCCCUCACCCUCAACGGAACUGCUCGUCCCGCUGCCUCGAUUUCCCCACUGGGACCAUUCACCACGACUCCCAGAUCUCUUUCUUCCCCUUACCUGAGCGGAUUUGUUGCAGGGUCCAGACUGCAAGAACCUAGCGAUCAGGCAGAACUUGCUGAAACUCCAACCUCUGGAAAUUACUGGAACCCUGCAUUCUAGAACUUGCUGGAAACCCACCCUCUGGAAUUGGCCUGCUAGAGUGCCUGAGAAGGAUGUUCAUAGGGAAAUGUUUCAGCAGAGGAACUCUACUACAAAAACCACAAGAGGGAGGGUGCCAGGGGAAGUGGCCUGGUGCUAUUGAAACUGCAACACAGAAGCCAGCCACUGGAGAGAGCUGCACAAGCUGCAGGAACACCCUACCCAGUAAGCCGGCCAGAAGGAGGGAGCAAAACCUUUUCUCUCUGCAACAUCUUUCCAGUUUCCUCUACUGGAAAAGCUUCAUUGCCAGCUGACAAAAGGAAAAAUACUUAAAUGGAUCAGAUCCAUUUUCACAGAGCAGUCAAUAAUGGUGAAUUUGGAGAUGAU
This 705-nucleotide long non-coding RNA is filed under the name Homo sapiens (human). RNAcentral's name for it is "HSALNT0284015". The record is from RNAcentral. Lineage: Eukaryota; Metazoa; Chordata; Mammalia; Primates; Hominidae.